This 377-nucleotide ribosomal RNA is filed under the name uncultured bacterium. RNAcentral describes it as "bacterial SSU rRNA". It matches the Rfam family "Bacterial small subunit ribosomal RNA", at positions 524 to 898 of the family's 1533-position model. The record is from RNAcentral.
UACGUAGGGUGCAAGCGUUGUCCGGAAUUAUUGGGCGUAAAGAGCUCGUAGGCGGUUUGUCGCGUCUGGUGUGAAAAUCCAGGGCUUAACCCUGGACCUGCAUCGGGUACGGGCAGACUAGAGUGCGGUAGGGGAGAUCGGAAUUCCUGGUGUAGCGGUGAAAUGCGCAGAUAUCAGGAGGAACACCGGUGGCGAAGGCGGAUCUCUGGGCCGUAACUGACGCUGAGGAGCGAAAGCAUGGGGAGCGAACAGGAUUAGAUACCCUGGUAGUCCAUGCCGUAAACGUUGGGCGCUAGGUGUGGGGCUCAUUCCACGAGUUCCGUGCCGCAGCAAACGCAUUAAGCGCCCCGCCUGGGGAGUACGGCCGCAAGGCUAAA